This 365-nucleotide long non-coding RNA is filed under the name Citrus x clementina. Its description in RNAcentral is "Citrus clementina (C. clementina) long non-coding RNA (CCLE_LNC002609)". Lineage: Eukaryota; Viridiplantae; Streptophyta; Magnoliopsida; Sapindales; Rutaceae. The record is from RNAcentral.
UGAUAGUUUCAGAAAGUACAGUUGGCUAACUAUAAUGUCAAAUCAGGCCCAAUUUGGUCAUUAAGAUAGUUCUCUUCUCUUGGAUUUAUUUGAUGCAAGUGUGAGAAAAGAGCGAAAAAAGAACAGGGAUUAGCAUGUUAUUAUCCCAAAUGGAGAAAUGGCUUCGGACAGAGAAAGAGAGAGAGUGAAGUGGGGCCCAUUGGCUACAGUGAGGAACAGCUAAGGGAGGCUGUGUGAGAAAGGGGACGGCAAGCGGUGGUUGGAUAAUGGGAGGCUGAUGACGUGGCACUUUUUAAUAGAGAGAAGAGGAUGACGUGUCACUUUAUUUUUUUUUAUUUUCUUUUUCCGUUUUCUUCCUUCUUUUU